GGGCAGCAUGGUCUUAGCUUGCUAAGGCCGAUGGCGACCGGCGCACGGGUGAGUAACACGUAUCCAACCUGCCGUCUACUCUUGGACAGCCUUCUGAAAGGAAGAUUAAUACAAGAUGGCAUCAUGAGUCCGCAUGUUCACAUGAUUAAAGGUAUUCCGGUAGACGAUGGGGAUGCGUUCCAUUAGAUAGUAGGCGGGGUAACGGCCCACCUAGUCUUCGAUGGAUAGGGGUUCUGAGAGGAAGGUCCCCCACAUUGGAACUGAGACACGGUCCAAACUCCUACGGGAGGCAGCAGUGAGGAAUAUUGGUCAAUGGGCGAGAGCCUGAACCAGCCAAGUAGCGUGAAGGAUGACUGCCCUAUGGGUUGUAAACUUCUUUUAUAAAGGAAUAAAGUCGGGUAUGGAUACCCGUUUGCAUGUACUUUAUGAAUAAGGAUCGGCUAACUCCGUGCCAGCAGCCGCGGUAAUACGGAGGAUCCGAGCGUUAUCCGGAUUUAUUGGGUUUAAAGGGAGCGUAGAUGGAUGUUUAAGUCAGUUGUGAAAGUUUGCGGCUCAACCGUAAAAUUGCAGUUGAUACUGGAUAUCUUGAGUGCAGUUGAGGCAGGCGGAAUUCGUGGUGUAGCGGUGAAAUGCUUAGAUAUCACGAAGAACUCCGAUUGCGAAGGCAGCCUGCUAAGCUGCAACUGAC
This 688-nucleotide ribosomal RNA is filed under the name uncultured Bacteroidales bacterium. RNAcentral's name for it is "bacterial SSU rRNA". It matches the Rfam family "Bacterial small subunit ribosomal RNA", at positions 67 to 744 of the family's 1533-position model. Lineage: Bacteria; Pseudomonadati; Bacteroidota; Bacteroidia; Bacteroidales. The record is from RNAcentral.